UACGAAGGGUGCAAACGUUGCUCGGAAUUAUUGGGCGUAAAGCGCACGUAGGCGGCUUGGCAAGUCGGAUGUGAAAGCCCCGGGCUCAACCUGGGAAUUGCAUUCGAGACUGAAUAGCUAGGGUACGGUAGAGGGAAGUGGAAUUUCCGGUGUAGCGGUGAAAUGCGUAGAUAUCGGAAGGAACAUCAGUGGCGAAAGCGGCUUCCUGGACCAGCACCGACGUUCAGGCACGAAAGCGUGGGGAGCAAACAGG
RNAcentral lists this ribosomal RNA (253 nucleotides) under uncultured bacterium. RNAcentral describes it as "partial 16S ribosomal RNA". It matches the Rfam family "Bacterial small subunit ribosomal RNA", at positions 524 to 776 of the family's 1533-position model. The record is from RNAcentral.